ACACAGGACACUGCUGCUAACAAGAGCGUAGGCCUGAAUGCCAGGAACAUGGACUCGCGACAUUCAUUUGCAAAAAGGCAAACAUGGAGGUUUUCUCAUCCAGAAAAUGCUGCAGCUUCUACCAGCACCUUGGUAACAUCUAACAGCAAGGAGCGCAGUGUGUAAUGCCUACUCAAGAUAAGAAGCCACAACCCUGAAAAGGAAUUAUCUGAAUACGAAUCCCACUGUUCUCCUGGCAGCCCUGCCCUGGCUUUGCAGCAACAAGAGCACCAAGCAGCUCAGCCAUGACACCAACUACACUUUGCCAAAGUGGUAGAAAAAGAGUUAGAGAAGCAAGCAGGAGCAGGCUGUGGACAGCCCACGUCUGCUGCAGCACAAGUGUAAGAAAAGAAUAUGAUUUGGACUACUGUAAGCCUUUCACCAUCUCCCUCAAGGAAACUGCUGAAGAUAAAAUUACAAAUGCAUUAUAAACCCACUUCCAUACAAUGCAGUGCAUGGUGAUCCAGAACUCUCCGGAGACUUUACAAUAUCGUAAGGAGCAGGAGAAAAGCGUGAGGAGGAAGGAGCAACAAAGAAGAACUCCUGGGCUGCCCGCAGCUUCCCCUCCCCAUCCCUUGUGUCGCUUGUGAGGACAGAAGAGCUGACAGGAGAGAGCAGAGGAACAGGGAACCACAGGACAAGGUUGAGCCUGGGAAGAAGGGAGAACUGGGGCAAGGUGGCUUUAGGUUUGGCUUUGUUUCUUACCAUCAUACUCUGUUUUUCAUUCCCAAUAAAGUAAAUUAAUCUUACUCUUCCUUUACUCUCCCACUGCAUCACCUUUUUCUAACACUGCCACAUGACUUCAGAGUAGAAAUACGGUAAUACAGAUUACCUUUUCACUCUGCAAACUGAUCCAGAAAAAGAAAGCAGCACAAAUAGGUUGCAGAGAUCAUUUUCUCAGGCAGAAAACACUUUCGGGUUGUGAAUUAGGCUGUGGGACAGAUCAUCAGAUGGAUGGAUCCUGUUCAUGAGAAUAUAAACUUUCAAACUAUAUUGUUGGAGAGAAAACUGAACAGCAGAUUCUGUGCACAUUUAAUUUAUGUCAGUUAUGGCAAGUAAUUCAUCUUGAAAAAGUCAUGAAAAGGAAUUACUACCUAAAUACUACAGCUGCAGAUAUAUACCUAAGAAUAAACCCUUACUUCUGUACACAUAGAUUUAAGUUAUAUCUAAGGACUACAAAAAUCCAGCAGUCGUGUAUACAAAGAAGUCUUACAGCAGUUCAUUCCUAAUCGAUCUGAUGUCUGGCUCACACAGAACCUUACCCUUUGGGGGGAAACAAAUACCUUGAGGGAGACAGGUUCUUAGGGAUUUCAGAGGCUACAAAAUGAAGCACUCAGACUGAAACUGCACAUAACAAGAAUGGAUACCUACUGAAACAAAUCAAACAAAUCCACAAAGCUUAUCCUCUCUCAAAGCAUGACUCAGCAACAAAACAAAAGAAGUUGGUGGCUAGAUGGCAGAUGAGAAAGGUGAGGUCAACAGUGUUGCAAAGGCAUUAUUAAGGGGGACUAUGGGAGCAAACUGUAAUCAGGAGGCCUCAAAGUAUCAUGUUUUAUCCAAAACUAGGGAUAGGGGAAGUCCAAGAACAGCAAAGGUCCCAGAGAGGAACUCAUUUUCAAGGGAAACAUGUCUCUUCAGUGAAGGCUCCAAAUACAAAAUAAUCAAAUUAUAGACAACUGAGACUAUUAUGUAAAAUUCUUUCAUGAUUAAAUAACAAAGCAAGAAAUGAAAAACAACCUGAAGGCAUAAUAUUAUAUUUUCUUUCUGACAUCAAAUAUCAAGGCAGAACUCCAAGAGCAGCUUGCUCUGCCAGAGUUACUGCAGAUGAGCAGAUUUAGCUUCCAGUAUCUUCCUUUCAAUACUGGCUCUGAAUUCAGUUACUUAAACUACACAAAACAACUGUCUACUUAUUGUUUUUAUAUACAUAUAUAUACAUACAGGUUUAUGUAUGUUAUUUUGUAUCUAUGUGAGACAUUCUGCCCCUACAAGGUCCUUACUCUGCUUGGUAUUUACUGGACAACUUUUCAUUUUUGUAGGAGAUGAGAAAAUAUUCAUGCAGGAGAAUGAUUAGCAUUUCCAUUACAUGCAGAAUGGAUGGCAGAUCAGGGCUUCAUGCAUUUCCUUCCUCAGUGAAGAGUCUUUGAGAAAUACUCCUUCACUGGUAUAUAUGCUGCUAAACCUCUAUAUGAUGUAUUGGCCAUCUAAAUAUAAUCUUGUUGAUGGUUGUCAAAUGUGCAGUGCUUUGGUGAAGUCAAGAUAAUCUCAAACACCGCAAUCCUUACUUAAAUGAAGAUGUAACACUUAAAAAAAACCCACGUGUAGCACAGGAAACUAGAUUUUCUUUAAUUUAAAAAAAGUUUUACUUACUUUAAAUCUACUUUCUUAAUAUUCUGACUAGCUGCCAUCUACUUGGAUUUCCUGCAUUAAAUUAUUUCCAAAUGUUGUGCACUAGGCAUACUUCAGAGAAAGAACAAGGUAAGGAAAAUGCACAUUCCAUCUCCGGUCAAAUGAAGAACAGCUACAUCAGAAAUAUGACUACAAAGACCACAGAUACAAAUUGAAUCUGUAUUCAUUUUUCAAAAAUGUUUUAAUUUUCCCUCAUUAAAACUGAAGCAAAUUUAGUGCAGUUUAAUUCCAUUUGAAAUCCAAAUGCCUUUGAAAACUUUUAUAACAUCAUUUAAUGGAGCAAGUAUCCUACAUUUUCUUCACUCUUCUGUACUGUUUCCUUCCUUAAGUCAUUCUUAGUAAUUAGCAUCCGAUAAUCUAAAUUUAUAUUUUUCUAAUUUUGAUAUGCAUAUUAUUUCUUUUUUUAUUUUCUUAAAAAAAUCCUCUUUCAUUUCUCUCACACAUUUACCUUUCUAACUUUGUUCUUUGUUACUUGCUAGCACAUACACAUCACUCACUGAGGCACUCAGCUCUGGUGCCUGUUCAGAGAGGAAUGGAGGGCCGAUAUGCUGGCCAGACCUGCCUCAGAGGGAAGUCUGCUGCCUCCCUGGGUUAAAGAUGUUACUAGAAAACAAUUGAUUAAAUGAUCAGGAGCAUGGAUAGUGUUCUCCUUUAUUGCUCCAGUAACAGCAAAUGAUAUUGGAAGAAAAAAGUAGACCCAGUUGAUCAACACAUGAAUCUGAGUCUGGUAUCACUGGUAAAAUUUAUUAUUUUUUUUUUUAAACCACAAUAUGGUCUACCUAUCACUAGGUCUGCUGGAAUCUGACAGGACACAGCCCUGUGUGGGGAAAAUGAGGUUUGGUCACAAUUUAGAAGGGCUCGUUGAAAGAGCUUUAAACUAGAGAGAAAGGGAUAAGAUGAGGCUCACAGCUGACGAGCAUGUGAGAGUUUGAGGAACUAUGUGCUAGUAAAGUCCUUCAGUCUGCUACAUAGAGUUCUACAUUAAUGCAUUCAGCAUGAUAAAUAAUAAAGGGAAUCUCAGUGAUGGAGCGAGAAGCUUCUUCACUAGAGAGUGGUGGGCAUGGAACAGGCUCCCCAGGGCAGUGGUCAUGGCGCCAGGCUGCCAGAAUUCAAGGACCGGUUUGGACAACACUCUCAGAAAUUGGGUUUGAAUUUUAAGUAGUGCUGUGUGGAACCAGAAGUUUCACUUUAUGAUACUUUGAGUUCUUUCCAACACAGAAUAUUCUGUGAUUCGAUGUUUGUAUGUACAUACUUGUAUACCUACUUACACACAUAAAUGCAUGGAGAAAAACCCAUCAGACACUUGUUUCCUGGACUUUCAGUCACUUCCUCUGUUGUUCAUUUUCUCACUAUUUUUCACUAUUUUUUAUCUUUCCACCAUUAAUUGCAACAUGAUUUGUCUCUCUCUCUCUUUUUUUUUUUUUUUUUUCCUUGUUUUUUAAUUUCCUCUCAUUCAUUUUCAUCACUGGUCAACUGCUCCACCAACCACCAUCAGUCUAAGUAGACAAGAAGGUCCUGAAGGAGAUGGUUUUUAGAGAUGCUUUAGUCUGCACAACUGUUAGGUGCUUGGCAUUGGGUUUAAAGGGCAUAAGACCAUCUGUCUCUACACAUAGAAUUAGCACAAGGGCUACAAGAGACAGCUGUUGCAUCAUGCAAGAAAUUGCUAUUGUAUAAGACACUGGAAUAUUAAUGAAGAUCCAGGUGAUCUUCUAAAAUCUGGAUGAACUCAGUUCAACUCCCUCACUCCUCCAUCUCAAAUAACUGAUGUGUCUUAAGAGAAUAAGCCAAGCACACUCUUAACUUCAUAUUUCUAAUAUACAUUGAGUCAAGGAUACAAGUCAAUCACUGAAGACUGGUCUGGCCUCUUACAGUCUCCUGUGAAGUAAACAGUAUUGUCAUCACAUUGCUGGACCAGAAGACUUGUCAGUUUCUACAGAGACCCCUGUGCAAGGCAUAUCCAACAGCUAUUUCCUUGAAUCAUGUUCUCUUACAGCCUCCUAGGCACAAUAUCAACAAAAGUCAAAUGGUACUUUGGAAGCAGCAAAGAAAAAACAGUAUUUUUAUUAUUAUUAUUUCAAACAGAUCAGUUGACUGUCCGAAUGACAGGCAGUACAAACGUGCUGAGAAGAGGAAAUAGCAAGAAUAAUGUACUUGGGCUUCUUACUCUAAACUAACAGUUUUUCUUGCUUCAUUUCUUCAAAAUUAAAAUGGCUUUCCAGUUUAGAUGGCAACAGCUUUAUGGCUCUCAAAAAAAGAAAAGAAGAAGAAAAAGAAGUUGUGAACAAAGUACCACUAAUCUAAUUGUUUCCUUUUUUUUUUUUUUAUUAUUAUUAUUAAGAUAACACUGAAGUGCCUGAAAAUGCCAUAUUAUGUCAUAGGGUAGACUGGACAGUUUGACUGUAAAAGUCCUGAGAAUCUCAACAGUGCUGCCUCUGUAGGGUUUGUUUAUUUGUUUGUCAACACCACUCAUGCUGAAAAUAAAGUUUGUGAACAUUUUUUCUGAGCCACAAGCCUGUGAAAUGCUUAGGAAGAUGAACAAGUAUUUACCUAAGAUUCACAAACCUCCUACUGUCUGUCAGAAAGUGUGCUGGUCUUCUUUACAGCAAGGAAAAAUGUUGCCUGUCUCUAAAAUUACAGUUAUCAAAUUUAUAUCUUAAGAGUCUUAUAGAAAGAAGAUUAGUUUCCACACAGUUUGUGCUAUCAGAUUGUAUUAACAUACAUAGGGAAAAACGUAAUCCAUAAGCUGGCCAAGGGUGCUAUGUUUUCUUCCAUUUGAUCUAAGUGUGUGUGUGUGUGUGUGUGUUCCUUAAACAGCUUUCCUGCUUUGUUUAAAAGCGAGGGGGAAAAAGAAAAGUCAAAAUGAGCAGCAGGCUUGAAAUUCAGAUGUCCAGAGGACUGCUUCAGUAGAUCAAUAGACAAUGCAAUAAAUAGAUAAAUACAUUCAAACUCAGCCCAAUGGACAAGAGAUCAGAGAGUCAGGAGAUAAAAAGGAAUAAAUGAACACCUAAAAUUCCUCAGUGGCAAAGACUGGUCCCAGCUAUCCAACCAUAUCCAACCAGGGGACCAAAGGCUGCACCAAAGCACAAUGGUCAUUACUCUGGGGUGAAUUCAAACUUCUACUGACAGACUACAAGUACCUUUUAUAAAUGGACAACAAGUUAGUCUGUGACUGAGGAGCAAUGAAAUGUUCCUUUACUGAAUUAAUCUCUUACAUGUCCUUUAAAUGUGCAUACACACACAUCAAACAACUUACUUCAAAGCUACUCUGUAUCAUGAAUGUAUACAAGAAGACAGAAUGCUAGUGAUCAUUGUCAAUAAAGAUGUCAAACCUGAGGUCUACUGAAGCUCUUCUAUGCUACUGAAGUAUUUUAUCUGUUUCAGGAAGUCUUUUCAGUCUUCCUCCAGCAAAAUCUUUUCAGUGCCACUGAAUUUCAGGGCUAAUUUGGGAACCUACCUCUAAGCCAUCUGUAACAGUCCCCUUUUAUCACAUUAUUAUUUAACAGUUCAUUGUUCCAAAAGUUUGCAGGUAAUUGGCUUGUUACAUUAGCAAUUACUUUCUUGGGUGUAACUGGGUAUCCCUUCCUAUGUAAUUAAAAUUGCUGGACUAAGGAAAUGAAUACAAGCCAUUAUAAAAAAUGUAAGAUCAGAACCUCUUCAACUUUCAUUUAACCUGGUUCCAGAGACUCCAAGAUUUCCAAUCAGAUCUUAAUUUCUGACUCUGUUUGGACUUUAUCCUUAAUCUGAAGUGUCAGUAGUUAACUCUAUUUCACUUGAAAAAGAUGUAUGAACAAAGCCUCUUUCAUUGCUUCGGUAUUUUAUCAAAGAUAUAAGAGGAAAUCUCCCUGAAAUGCAACUGUGGGGAGAAGAAAGGAGAUUUUAGAAGAGAGUAGGUUGACUUUGAGGCAGAAAAGCAUAUGGACAAAGAUGUAUGGAAACA
Molecule: long non-coding RNA, 6382 nt
Organism: Gallus gallus (chicken)
Lineage: Eukaryota; Metazoa; Chordata; Aves; Galliformes; Phasianidae
Exons: 4
Source: RefSeq, a predicted model, not a curated record